CAUACUGCAAGUCGAGCGGACAGAAGGGAGCUUGCUCCCGGAUGUUAGCGGCGGACGGGUGAGUAACACGUGGGUAACCUGCCUGUAAGACUGGGAUAACUCCGGGAAACCGGAGCUAAUACCGGAUAGUUCCUUGAACCGCAUGGUUCAAGGAUGAAAGACGGUUUCGGCUGUCACUUACAGAUGGACCCGCGGCGCAUUAGCUAGUUGGUGGGGUAAUGGCUCACCAAGGCGACGAUGCGUAGCCGACCUGAGAGGGUGAUCGGCCACACUGGGACUGAGACACGGCCCAGACUCCUACGGGAGGCAGCAGUAGGGAAUCUUCCGCAAUGGACGAAAGUCUGACGGAGCAACGCCGCGUGAGUGAUGAAGGUUUUCGGAUCGUAAAGCUCUGUUGUUAGGGAAGAACAAGUGCGAGAGUAACUGCUCGCACCUUGACGGUACCUAACCAGAAAGCCACGGCUAACUACGUGCCAGCAGCCGCGGUAAUACGUAGGUGGCAAGCGUUGUCCGGAAUUAUUGGGCGUAAAGGGCUCGCAGGCGGUUUCUUAAGUCUGAUGUGAAAGCCCCCGGCUCAACCGGGGAGGGUCAUUGGAAACUGGGAAACUUGAGUGCAGAAGAGGAGAGUGGAAUUCCACGUGUAGCGGUGAAAUGCGUAGAGAUGUGGAGGAACACCAGUGGCGAAGGCGACUCUCUGGUCUGUAACUGACGCUGAGAGCGAAAGCGUGGGGAGCGAACAGGAUUAGAUACCCUGGUAGUCCACGCCGUAAACGAUGAGUGCUAAGUGUUAGGGGGUUUCCGCCCCUUAGUGCUGCAGCUAACGCAUUAAGCACUCCGCCUGGGGAGUACGGUCGCAAGACUGAAACUCAAAGGAAUUGACGGGGGCCCGCACAAGCGGUGGAGCAUGUGGUUUAUUUCGAAGCAACGCGAAGACUUACCCUUGACAUCCUCUGACAACCCUAGAGAUAGGGCUUUCCCUUCGGGGACAGAGUGA
Molecule: ribosomal RNA, 994 nt
Filed under: Bacillus sp. SMLT2
Lineage: Bacteria; Bacillati; Bacillota; Bacilli; Caryophanales; Bacillaceae
Description: bacterial SSU rRNA
Rfam family: Bacterial small subunit ribosomal RNA
Source: RNAcentral